Molecule: unclassified non-coding RNA, 253 nt
Filed under: Hevea brasiliensis (rubber tree)
Lineage: Eukaryota; Viridiplantae; Streptophyta; Magnoliopsida; Malpighiales; Euphorbiaceae
Source: RNAcentral
UCUUUGCCAGCUUCCGAUACGCCUUCUGGAUGUCGGCGUCAGAGGCAGUCGGGGCAACGUCAAGAAUCUCGUAUGGAUUUCUCACGACUUACUCCGGACGCACAUUGUUUAUCCAAAAUCACGAGCACUGCACGUAAGAUCAACAAUGCUACAACACCCUUCUCUCUCACACCAACUCGUCUGAUGGCGAANUACCAACCCGCCCACGGCGCGAUACCGCAUGUGCUAAGGAUGCCGCUUUUAAAGGCGCUGG